UUCUCAAAGACACCGCACUGCCUGGAGAAA
This 30-nucleotide non-coding RNA is filed under the name Rattus norvegicus (Norway rat). Lineage: Eukaryota; Metazoa; Chordata; Mammalia; Rodentia; Muridae. The record is from RNAcentral.